CUCGCGCCGGGGCGGGGCUUCCCCGCGGCGCUGCCGGGCGCAGCGGGAGCCGCGGGAGCGCGCACGGGGCCUGGCUGCUCUGUGAGCCGUACACGUUGGCGCCAUGGCUGCCUUUGGAAGGAGCCUGCAGCAGGACAUGGUUUCGGAGCUGCACGGCUUGGCUGCUGCGGGAGACGCGGCCGGGCUGAGGGCGCUGCUCAGGCGCUCCCCGUCGCUGGUCAACGCGGCCGCAGGGAACGGCUGGACGGCCCUCAUGUACGGCGCUAGAAAUGGACACCUCGAGGUUGUGCAGGUUCUCCUUCAGGAAGGGUGUGACAGAUCCGUCAUUAAUAAAUCAAGCCAGACAGCUCUGGACAUUGCUAAAUUUUGGGGGUACAAACACAUAGCUAAUUUGUUGGCUAAUGUGAAAGGUGAUAAGAAACCUAGUUUUUUGUCAAAUGAUGUAAAAGAAUAUGAAAAUUAUUUUGGCAUGACGCUUCUGGAUAGAAGGAGUGAUAAAAGAACAGAUUCCAAGUGGCUAAGUAAAAAACAAAGCCAUCCAGACACAGUAUACAUCCUCUUCUCAAAUCUAAGUCCCUUGGUUACUUUGGGUGGGGGAAGAGAGAGCUCAGAGCAACCAGAAGUAAAGCUUUGCAGGCUAUACCACAAGGAUGUGGAACAGUGCAUGAACCAAACUGAAGAAUGUACCUUGAUUUUUCUUGGAGUGGAACUUCAGUUUAAUGUGAACCUGACGGCUGCUUGCCAUGGAAGAGUUCUGCAAGAAGAUGAAGAAGAUGGGUUAGUUGCUUGGUUUGCUCUUAGCAUAGAUUCUGCUUCUGCUGAAAAAUUUAAACAGAAGCAUGAGGGUUGUUACUUUCUUCACCCGCCGAUGCCUGCACUACUGCAGUUACCUGAAAAAGAAGCUGGAGUAAUAGCCCAGGCGAGAUCUGUUCUAGCAUGGCACAACCGCUACCGAUUCUGCCCAACAUGUGGGAGUGCAACCAAGAUUGAAGAAGGGGGUUACAAGAAAACUUGCUUAAAAGAAGAUUGUCCCAGUCUGCAAGGAGUUCACAACACAUCAUAUCCAAGAGUUGAUCCUGUUGUGAUAAUGCAAGUUAUCCAUCCAGAUGGGAACCAUUGCCUUUUAGGUGAAACCAUAGAAGAUGCUGUUCGAAGAGAAGUAGAGGAGGAGGCUGGAGUCAAAGUUUCCCAUGUUCAGUACAUCUCUUGUCAGCCAUGGCCAAUGCCCUCCUCCCUAAUGAUUGGCUGCUUAGCUUUUGCAGUGUCCACAGAAAUUAAAGUUGACAAGAAUGAAAUAGAGGAUGCCCGCUGGUUCACUAGAGAACAGGUUGUGGAAGUUCUCAUUAAAGGAAACCAGCGUUCUUUCUUUGUACCACCAAAUCGAGCAAUUGCACACCAGUUGAUAAAACAUUGGAUUGGAAUGAAUGCUAAUCUUUAAUUCAAAUAAUUGAUUUCUUUAAGUUACUUCUUCUAUUGAAUGAUUAGUUAGGAAUAAAUUAGAACUGUUUGUCUUGUGAAUAUGUAACCAAGUGAUUUUUCUGAGCCUUUACAUUGGUUCCAGAGCUCACCUAUGCAAAUUUUUGUAGGUGUUUUCCAACCUGAAUUAGAUUUGGACAAAACCCAAUAAUAUCCCAAGCAAGCAAGGGAGCAACAAAUAAGUAGAAUUGCUGCCUUGUUCAGUAACAGGCUGUGCUUUUUGUUGUAGAAUGAAAUUAUUAUGCCUUUUGGUCUUACACUUUUUAUGUAUCAUUUGGUCUUCUCCCACUGGAAGAAGUCACAGCAUUACAAAGAGGGCUGUCUGACCUUGUCUGCUGUUUGAAUUCUCUACUUAUGUCCUCAUACUUGGCCUUAAUUAUUUCUUUCUCAUUUUUGCCUCUCUCCAUUCUUUAAAUUUGACUUGUCUCAGAAUCUACAUUCAGUGCUGAAAGCCUUACCAGCUAUAGCUGUUUUAAGGUUAAUGGCAUAUGUAAAUAGUGAAUAUGUGGUACUUCGUAUCUUUUACAUUAAUAACCUACCUUAUAUUAAUACUCUAAGCAGAGCAUUUACUCAUCUGUUCUGACUAGGCCUGCACUUAACCAAUUGCAUGUCAGCCUGAAUUUAAAGGUAUAAUGCAAUACUUAAUUUUUGAAAAGAAUGUUGGAGAACCAUCCCCGAAAGCCUAAAUAGUAGUGUUUUUAUAAGAUAAUAAUGUAGUUACUGAUGCUAGGCAAUAAGUAAUUUCAUUCUCUGAUAAUUAGAAAUGAAGUGACAGAGUAAUGGAGAAGGAAGAACAAGGCAUAUCUCAAAAUAUGCACAUAGUUCUUUAUGGAAAUAGAGAUGCUAAGAUUGUUACUGCUAUUAAGAAUCUUUCAGUUGAAAGAAAUAUAUUAACUGCAGCUAUAAGACUGGGAUAGCAAUAUGUUAAUUAAAAUAUUUAUUUAUGUGGUUUUAAUGCUCCAGUUCAGAUUUGUGCCUUAAUUUAUCAAGUUAUUUAAGAUAAUGUUGAUAUUUUAAAAAUAAAAGUAUACUGUUUUAUUAUUAAUUUCAUUAUGUAAUAGUUCACAUUCUGCAGUCAUUGCAGUGAUAUCAAAAGAAAUGUAAACAACCUGAGGAAAAUGCAAUUAUAGUGGCAAAUGUAAACUUACUGUUAUAUGAUUUGUUUAUUUGGAGUAAUUUAAAUUGUUUUUAACAGUGAAUGGUGUUAUAUUUUUUCCAAAAUUCUCAGCAACCUGGAAUCAGUAAAACUGUUGUACAAAUCCUGAUUGUUCUUUUUUUCCCCCAUCUAUGUUACACUGUGCUCAGCAAUUUUCAUUGUUUUUUGGUAAGGCCUUACCUAAGCAGUACUUUAAGCAUUCCUGACAGACUUACAGUAUUUGAUAUAUUAUGUUGCUUCAUUCUCUCCCUUAUUUCAGCCAUACCUACGAAUAAAGACCAUCAGGUUAUCUCUUGGGUUGUCUGGCAAGAAGAAGGAAACAAUACACUGCUUUCCUUAAAAAUUGCUUUUACAGAGAAGGCAAGUUGUGGAAAGCUAUGUCAUAGGCCAUACAUACCAGCAGGACUUCAUGGUAACAGUGGCAUUAAUAAGUUACAGGUUGCUCAUAGAGUAAAGGAGAAUAUUGGAAAGUAAGCAAAAAGUGGUGGAAGCUAAGCAGUGAAAGGAAGUUUCAACUCAUACUGUAGUGAUUACAUUUAGAGAGAUGAGCAAGAAAGGAAUGAGGAGCAGAUGGAAGAGGGAAGAUAAAUCACAGAGCAAAUAUAGGUAGCUUACAAGUAAAUAGUUUAUCACUUUGAGGUAAUUAAAUGUACAUGACUAAGACCAAUUGGAAUACUAGUUUUUUUUGUGUAGAAAAUUAUGGUGAGUUACUAUAGAGAUGUAGUUCUAACAGUGAAACUCCAAACACAGUAUCCCUAACCUGCCUAAUUUUUUUUUUUUUGAGAAUCUGUGUAACAGUAUAUAUCUGCAAUUACAAUGCUAGUAAGUAAAUUGAAAAAUUUUACUUUCCUACAUGAAGAAAAACAGAAAAAAAAUCUUAUGACAAAGGGAACAAUGCUUAAAUAAUCUCUGAUUUUGAGAGUAGUAUUUUAUGGAUCUUUCAAGUCUGAUAACUUCAGUGUGUCAAUGAUUUUGAGUCUUUAUACAUUUUCAAAAUCUAAGCCAAGCUUUUGAAAAAGCUUUCAAAGCUAUCAUUUCAUUUUUUCCUCAUCAAUAGAAGAACCACUUGCAGGGAAGAAGAGAAAUCUCUCUUGUUUAAGAAAACUACUUAGAUAAAUUUAAUCUAUUUAAGGAAAGAUUUUUAUUUAAGGAAAGAUUUUUUUGUGGCUUUUUAUUGCUUAAUUUGCCCUUUUUGUAAGUCAGGGUUUGAAUUUUAGUUUGAAGAUUCCUAUAUAUUUUCUGAAGGACAGUUACUGUUUGCAGUUUACAAAGGAAAUGUCAAAUUUAAGAGGCAAAUGCUGUGGUUAUCUGGCAACUACAGCAGUUUAAGAAAGUGCCAAAUUAACUUUAGAAGCAAUUGAACAGAGUGUAGUGGUUCUGACUGGAGUAUUGUGUGGGCAACACCUCCAGAAGAUCUCAGUUGUUUGACUUACCCAAAAGAUAGCAGCAGCUUUGGAAGCAGGCUGGUUUUUGCCACAAAGUUAAUGCCCCACAUUAAGAGAAUAGUGUUACUUACAAAACUGGUCUUUUUUGCACUGUAAAAAAUUAUCUCUCUCUUUUCUCCCUUGCUUGUACAAGGCUAUGAGACCAAAAAGAGUACUCAUAACAUCAAAUGUACAAGGCAGAAAAUUCUGGAGAUGCCUUUUAUCCCAGUUUGCCUGUGUACUAAAGAGAACUACCUUCUAUUCAAUCAUUGCUGACUGGGUUUGACGGUACAGAAGGGGGUAAAGCUAAAGAAAGGAAAAAUUGAACUUAUUAUCCUGUUGAGCUUUAGCAAGACAGCCAACCCAUCCUUCAUGAGCUUAGAAAAGCAAACUGUUCACAGACAAUCCACAACAGCAAGCAUCUGAGGAAAAUGUAUAUUGGCUUGUGGCAAUGAAAACUAGAACACAGAUGCCCUUGGUUCAUAGAAAUGAGUAGAAAGAAAAGAAAAAGCUGCAAGAGCAGAAAGAGCUCUGAUUCCAGAGAAUAUGCACAGUUGUCACCCAUUUGUAAAUGCCAGCAAAGUGUAGGAAGCCUUGAAAAUAAAGCACAUGAGGCUCUGUCUCACUUCACAGAGCCACUGGAUGUAAAGGGUGCUGAAGCAAAUGGAAAAGAUCAUGAAAACAAGAAUCAGAGUAGCUCAGAUGCUUCUGAAGAGAGAGACCUAGAUAAUGUAUCAGACAGUGAAAAAGAAGGGAAGAAGGAAAAGAACUACCCUCGUGAAGUGUUCUCACCUCAGCAAGAUGAAAUCCUAGCCACAGUAACUUUCAGUGAGUCAGAGGGCUCAUCCAAAGGAAAAAUUACACUGUGGGGCAAGCCAGAUUCUUCAGACUCCAUUAGCUUGGCCACUGGAAAAAUUUCUGCAGAAGUAAAAUAUGGCUCUUUUAAUGUGAAAGUAGAAAUUAAGAAUAUUUCUUUGUUUGAUUCUGGAACAAAAGUUGUGGAUGAAAAAAGGAAAAGUUCAAAGAACAGGAAACAUCAUGAAAGACAAUGCCAGAAAAGUCAGUGUUCAAAAUAUUCAAAGUACCAGUGCCCUUCAACUGACCAUUCAGCAGAACACAGGGGGAAACAUAAAGCAUCCACUAAACAUAAAAUUCAAACUGCCAUCAAUGGAAGUGCCUCCCUGGAAAUGAACAUUGAAACAAAAGACAUUCAAGUGGAAUAUAACAGCAGAAAGAAAAAUCUGAAUGUUAGCAUCAAAGCUGGUGAGCAGGCACAGAGCAAGCCACUCAACAAGGAGCGCAGAGAUACAUAUUGGAGUGAAACAGAUUAUCCUGUUACAGAGGCACUGUAUAACACAGACUGUGACUCAUCAUUUAGCUUUCAUGAAAAAGAAGAUUAUGCAUUUUCAGAUGGAUAUACACUUCUCCCCCCACCUAAAGAAUUUGCUGAUUGUGACAAAAUGCACCUGGAUACAAUUGUAGAAGGUGUAUCUUCGUACCCUGUUAAUAGCGAAAAGGAAUCUGACAAUCUUACUACAGCCUUGAGUAUUUGGGGGGAAGAAAAUUGUUUCUGUAAACUUAACACAGAGGACUAUGAAGAACACACCAAUGAAAAGGAAGAUUUUUCAAAGGAUCCAAUACUUUUCUCAAAAAUAAAUAAUUCUAAUUGUCUUGUAGCUAUUAAUACCUUGCAUAAUCUAAACAAUGGGAAAGAAUGUGUUAGUAAGAGAAAUUUAUUAGGUCAAGAAAAAAAUAACCGUGACAAACACAGAGACGCAGGCCCAAAAACAGCAAGAAGAAAGUCUUUCCCAGAUACUAUCCUGGAUUUACCAUCACCAGUUCACCCUAGAAGGGAUUCUGGCUUUUACUCGCUGCCGUCCUUAAAUGUAUUGCUUAAGGAGACCAAAGCAGGAGA
Molecule: RNA transcript, 5971 nt
Organism: Ficedula albicollis (Collared flycatcher)
Lineage: Eukaryota; Metazoa; Chordata; Aves; Passeriformes; Muscicapidae
Gene: NUDT12
Gene name: nudix hydrolase 12
Exons: 10
Source: RefSeq, a predicted model, not a curated record